ACCUCAAGGCAUUGCAGGAAUAGCUGCUGUGUUACCUGCAUUUCAGUAGGUAGCAGAGAGAGGUUAUGUUUACACUCAGGGGUAGAACCUUGGAACAUCUCAGUGAGUAGUAACCCAACAUU
This is a small nucleolar RNA of Rattus norvegicus (Norway rat), 122 nucleotides long. Ensembl annotates it as small nucleolar RNA SNORA17. Lineage: Eukaryota; Metazoa; Chordata; Mammalia; Rodentia; Muridae. The record is from Ensembl.